This 246-nucleotide long non-coding RNA is filed under the name Homo sapiens (human). RNAcentral describes it as "non-protein coding lnc-SLC39A10-13:1". The record is from RNAcentral. Lineage: Eukaryota; Metazoa; Chordata; Mammalia; Primates; Hominidae.
GAAGUUGAUGUGGAAAUUGCUGAACAAUUUGUGACUAUCAAGAACAUGUUAGAAGAUUUGGGAAUGGUUGAUGGAGAUGUUGACUCAUCUCCUUUACCAAGUGUUAAUUCAGCAAUCUUAAAAAAAAAAUAAGUCAUUUAGUGGUGUAGCCACCACAAAGAUGGUUCUCCUCCUUCUGAAGAUAACAGGAACAAAGAAAAGUGAACAGGUGAUAUCCCUGUUUGGGAACAGGAAUUUCUGAAAAUU